GAUGAAGAACGUAGCGAAAUGCGAUACUUGGUGUGAAUUGCAGAAUCCCGUGAACCAUCGAGUCUUUGAACGCAAGUUGCGCCCGAAGCCAUCAGGUUGAGGGCACGUCUGCCUGGUCGUCACAUAUCGUUGCCCAAUGCCUAUUGCAGUGCAAUAGGAAUUUCUAGGGCGAAUGAUGGCUUCCCGUGAGCGUUGUUGCCUCGCGGUUGGUUGAAAAUCGAGUCCUUGGUAGGGUGUGCCAUGGUAGAUGGUGGUCGAGUUAGAACGAUACCGAUCAUGUGCAUGCUCCCCAAAAUAUGGCCUCUAUGACCCACACGCGUCUUUUGACGCUCAUGACGAGACCUCAGGUCAGGCGGGGCUACCCGCUGAAUUUAAGCAUAUCAAUAAGCGGAGGA
This 395-nucleotide unclassified non-coding RNA is filed under the name soil metagenome. Its description in RNAcentral is "partial contains 5.8S ribosomal RNA, internal transcribed spacer 2, and large subunit ribosomal RNA". The stretch from base 1 to 122 matches the Rfam family "5.8S ribosomal RNA", at positions 35 to 154 of the family's 154-position model. The record is from RNAcentral.